This 460-nucleotide ribosomal RNA is filed under the name uncultured bacterium. RNAcentral's name for it is "partial 16S ribosomal RNA". It matches the Rfam family "Bacterial small subunit ribosomal RNA", at positions 338 to 795 of the family's 1533-position model. The record is from RNAcentral.
CCUACGGGAGGCAGCAGUGAGGAAUAUUGGUCAAUGGACGAGAGUCUGAACCAGCCAAGUAGCGUGAAGGAUGACUGCCCUAUGGGUUGUAAACUUCUUUUAUAUGGGAAUAAAAUGUUCCACGUGUGGGAUUUUGUAUGUACCAUAUGAAUAAGGAUCGGCUAACUCCGUGCCAGCAGCCGCGGUAAUACGGAGGAUCCGAGCGUUAUCCGGAUUUAUUGGGUUUAAAGGGAGCGUAGGUGGAUUGUUAAGUCAGUUGUGAAAGUUUGCGGCUCAACCGUAAAAUUGCAGUUGAAACUGGCAGUCUUGAGUACAGUAGAGGUGGGCGGAAUUCGUGGUGUAGCGGUGAAAUGCUUAGAUAUCACGAAGAAUUCCGAUUGCGAAGGCAGUUCACUGGACUGCAACUGACACUGAGGCUCGAAAGUGUGGGUAUCAAACAGGAUUAGAUACCCGAGUAGUC